Molecule: RNA transcript, 2778 nt
Organism: Silurus meridionalis
Lineage: Eukaryota; Metazoa; Chordata; Actinopteri; Siluriformes; Siluridae
Gene: ube2d4
Gene name: ubiquitin-conjugating enzyme E2D 4 (putative)
Exons: 9
Source: RefSeq, a predicted model, not a curated record
UCGCGAGAGUAGAGCACUGCUCUCUAGGCAAAGCUGUCAGUGAAGGUAUUGAGAAGGGGGUUCCGAAUGACUGAAAUCGUCCUCCUUCGGUUCUUGUAAAACUGCGUGAAUGGUUCGACUUGUGCUUUCCUAGUGGUGAAUUCAGAACCUGGAAAAGCCUUAAAAACACGCGUUUAUAAGCCGAACUGCAGCGGGGAAACCGAGUGUUAUCCAGCUGGCUAACAAUACAAUAACAGGCAAAUGGCGUUGAAAAGGAUCCAGAAGGAGCUGACUGAUCUACAGAGGGAUCCUCCUGCCCAGUGUUCAGCAGGACCAGUGGGAGAAGACUUGUUUCACUGGCAGGCUACGAUAAUGGGGCCGAACGACAGUCCUUACCAAGGCGGCGUCUUCUUCCUCACCAUCCACUUCCCUACAGAUUACCCCUUUAAACCGCCCAAGGUGGCGUUUACGACAAAAAUCUACCAUCCCAACAUCAACAGUAAUGGCAGCAUCUGCCUCGAUAUCCUGCGCUCGCAGUGGUCUCCUGCACUCACCGUCUCGAAAGUUCUGCUCUCCAUCUGUUCCCUGUUAUGUGACCCGAACCCUGAUGACCCUCUGGUGCCCGAGAUCGCACACACGUACAAAGCCGACAGAGAAAAAUACAACAGACUAGCGAGAGAAUGGACGCAAAAGAGAACGAGCGAGAGAGUGAAAGAGGUAAAUAUGGAUCAACACCGACGCCAUGCUUUGUCUGGGAGGAAGCAGAGAGAGCGGAGAGACCCGAGAACAUCACCGCAUGCCGGCUGUACGCCCAUAACUCGGAGCCGCGCCCGGAAACACGCACAGCCCGGAAAAACUAUCGGGACAAACACAAACCAGGGAAAAACAAGACUUUUUAUUUUUCCCUGACUAUUACUUCGAUGGCACGUUGUUUCUGAGUGUUUCGCGGGGUCUCUGAACAACCAGGUGAAAUGCGGCGCUCACGUACACACCGUUUUCUCUCCGGGCAUUUCCUGUACAUAUCACGUGCGCGAACGUGUGUGGGUUUUUCUCUCUCUUUUAUUAAUUUAUUUUUUGGUUCAGCAGUUUACACUCAGGGGCACGGUACGUUUCAUAACUCAUUACAGUAUUAACAACACUACUGUUCCUCUUCAAGUCGAACCUCCAGAUCUUUAAUAUUUAAAUUAUUAAAACAGAUUGUCUGUGUUACAGAAGCCGGGAUGGGACUCGGGAGCGUCUGUAUGUGUGUCCCGUUUAAUCCGUAUCACUGCAAAGGGUCGGAAAACACCCAUGUCCUCAUCCUCUCUCAUUUACCACCAACUGCUCAUAUUAUUGCCCCAAAAACACUCACGCAUGGUGUCCCAGACGACACUUGGGCUUCUCGGGGCGGGGGAGGGGCGAGUCGAUUCGAGGCCAUGGAUCGUACUUUUGUCCGUCAUUUUCAACACGUCCGUCCAUCAGGAAAAAGUCUCGGAGCAACGCGAGAGCUAAAGCAGGACUGAGUUUAUAUAAGAUAUAAAUAUAUACACUACAUGGGGAAAAGUUUGUGGACACCUGAGCAUAAGAUCCCAUAUUUCAUCCCUAUUUGCUGUUCUAAUAAACUUCUGAGAUGAUGUUCCAGUAGACUUUUAUGGAGAUGUUUGUUGUUGAACUACGAGUGCUAGUAAAGUCAGGUACUGAUGUAAGUGAGGUGACUUUGUUCUUCUGGACCCCUGAAUUCCUAGUAGUAGAUUAAUUAGAUGUUUGAGGUUUCUGUGGGUUGGUGGAUUUGUUUGUUUUUGAAUUUACUUAAUCAAAUCCAGGACCGUGAGCUCUGUCUCGAUCUUCGCACUACUCGAUUUGACGGAGGUUUAAUAACUCGCAGACGAGAUCACUCCAGACUAUUGAGGCUGGGGUCUAAAAGCUUCAGAAGAAAGCGUCGCUGCUGGUCGUCACCUUCUAGCCUGUGUGAAGGAUCUGAUAAAACCCUGGUCUUCUUUUUGCUCUAUUUCGUGUAAUUAAAGCCGUAUAACGGAGGAUCGUUCCUCAAGAGAACUUUUAAUGAGCCCUUACUCACUCCCUGACGGCUCCUCCACUUCCCGAUAUCCCAGCCUGACCUCACCCAGGAUGAGAUCUUCACUAAGGAGAACAGCAUGGGAAUGAUGUGAUGGUCAGGAGUUCACAAACUUUUGGGUUUGAAGCUUUGUUUUCUAACAGCGUGCCUUCAGAGUUUAGAGGUUUUUUUUUUUUUUUUUGGAAUUGUUUCUUGAAUGUAUUGUUUUUUUUUCCUUUCUCGGUCUCGAGAUUCACUGUGUCAUUGUUCACUCUAGAUUUAUUGUUGGAGUUGUAUUUAUUUAUUUAUGUUUAUAUAUAAAAAUAAUCCUAACCCUAGAUCUACACUACUAAACCAUCAGAACUGACGUUUUUCUUUCAUCUGGGUUUCGGAACUCAAACCAGCCCUGGAACGGAUCACAGUUUUUACUCUUCAUACAACCUUAUCAGGGAUCUCCUUCUCCAUUCUCCACACUCUCGCCUCUCCUCCUCCUCCUCUUCCUCCUCCUUCUCCUCAUCAUCAUCGUUCACAUCCAGCCUUAACCAUCACAACCUGAACUGUACUGUAAUAUUUUAUUUUUUUGCCCUUUGGGAUAGAGAGUGGUAUACACACACACACACACACACACACACACACACACUGAGCCAUGCUAACCUCUCCUAAAAGUGUUUUUACGCUGAACACAACGUUCUCCUCGAGCUCCCUGAACUGCUGAAAAGAACCUCAGAGGUGUUGGCAUUAGUGAAUAAAAGCUCCUAUAGGUUUUA